UUCCCUUGAACUGGAAUAAAUCAGGAGCAGUGGCAUUACAUCAAAGCCACACUGGUGUAAGCAGCAUUGAAACAAGGUUCAUUUAGCAGUGUGUGAUGCUAUGAAAGAUGUUAUUUUGCAUAACCCUCCUCACAAAAAUGAAUCUAUUCCCCCUCCCUUUUUUUUUUUUAAUGCCAGAGAAGAAGCUGUUAGUGAUACUAACUAGUGAUAUUUGGCUAAAGACUUCCUAUUUUCAGACUCUGUUGUCUGCUGCUUAUAAUUUCAACCCUUCAGGCUGAAAUUCUCCAUACCAGCUCUCUGCCUCGGGCUUAAUGUUUUUGUGAGCAAAGCUGCAGGUGAAGGGGAGCCAGACAAUUCUCAGAAUGCAAUUUGGAGAAAACAUAUUAUUUUGGCCCUGUUAGAAAAUGAAUUGGCCUCCCCUUUCUCCUCAGGUUUUUCAUUUAAAAAAAUCAAAACCCUUAGUGAUACACAUAAGGCUUAAUGGCCCUGAGCAGCCCCACCUGGGGCCUCCCCAUGCCUUCCUACAGCCCAGGGGCUCCAUUUUAGCCCAGCUGGAACCAUUGCUUCCUUUCUAUGGGGUUGUGCUGUGGGUGGACCUGUGCUCAGUCCUGUGAUUUGUCCCCCUUGUUGAGGUUCCCCAGGCUAUGCUUUACAGCCAUGUCUUGGGCUCUGGGGCCACCAAGGGAGCCCCUCACCAGUGUGGUAUGGCUCAGUUGCAUCAUUAAGAAGCUCAUCAUAGAGUUUCAAGAUGAGACAGACCUUAUGGAGAAAGCUGUACUGGAGCUGCCCUUCCUCUUCUACUGCUUUACAACUAUGAAUCCUUCAGUUUAAGGAGAGCUACAGCCUGGCUGCAGAUAUAACCAUCUAUAACAAAGGUGGAGGAAAAAGCAGACUAUGUGCAUAGCUAAUUUGUGGCAGAUGCCUGAUUCAACCAAGACAUUCAUAUAUUUAUAUACACACACAUUCCUGGUCUGGUACUUCCAGCAAUACAAAGUCAGUGUUUUACAGUGUGUCAGGUACUCAGAUCACACCUUGUUAUGCCAGGUGCCCAAUAUAAAACCGGUUUAUUUUCCAGUGUCCUGAUGAUUUAACAAGGGUGUUGGAAAAAGAAUAUCAGGUAACUAAGUAUGGAAAACUGCACUACCAAAUCCACACUUCUAGUGGCUUUGGGCAGUGUGUACAUAUUCCACAUUGCUCCAGAGCAAAUAAAGUGAACAAGCAAGUAGGGAAGCUGCCCCAACCCAUUUGCAAGCCAACCUUUGUUUCAGGCUAUAUUUUAAAAAGCUAAUGUUUGCAAAGUACUGUAAUCCACUUGAAUGUCAAUAUUACUGAUUUGAAGUCAUAAAGUAUCUUUGUAUUCUUUCUCUUUCAGGAGACAUUCCUGAGGGACUGGAUGACAGGGCCCUUAUUAAACUGGCAGCAUGCAUUUUGAGAUGAGAAAUUACCAAUUUGUAUCUAGCAUUUGAAUAAAGAAAAUAAAAACCUGUGAGAAGUCCUCAGAGAUAGAAGAGGAAGGAGGAGGUCACUGGUAUUAUUACAGAUGCACCAUUCAUAUUAAAUGAAAUAAAAAAGUGGAAGUUAUAAUCGCAAUUCUGCCUGACAUGAGUUUCCUUUAGAGAAAAUGAUGUGGCUUGACACAAUGUAACCUGACAUAAUGCGAUGUGAUGUUAUAAAUGAGAAGUAGCAUGGGUAGUUUAAUGUAUAAUUUGACACACUACCUGUGCUAUGCAUGAGCUGGCAGACAGUGUACUGUGGUUCACUGAGUACCCAAAUUGCAUUCAAAUGGCAGGCUUACCACAUCAUGAUGCACAAAAGUAAGCUAGCAGUUGUUUGGUGGGUCAGUCAUAGACUAAAUAACUGUAGGCACAGAGACACACUUCUCUUUUGAGUUUAAGGCUGAAGUACAGGCACAGGUGAUGAGCUCAGGAGUCAUAAAAUACAAAUUGGCAUGUGGAAAAAGAUCUCUGCUGCUCUUACAGAGAUAGGAAUAGAGUAGCAUUGUUUUUGUUUUCUGCCAUGAGCUUGCAGAGAGUCAGGCUGGUCUGAACACUCCAACACUGCUCAGCUAACUGGGAUAUGAUGAAGUGUGAAGAUUAGCUUUGAGUCAGUGGACCCAAGUCCCCAUAGUCUGGUUCCAGCAGUCUCCAGUUCAAUAAGUGCAUGUUGUAGAAAGUUCAUGAAUUUUCUGGUAAAACUGCCUUUUGAACAGGAAAAGGAUGGGAGCAGCCAGGGCCACACUAAUAUAUGCUUUUAUUGCCAGCAUCAGCAUUGUUAAGAAGGGAAAUAAUUCUUUAUUAUUUCAGCAAAUGAGCACAAGAGAAAUUGUUCUAUGGGUGUAAAUGGGAAAAGAAAGGAGGGGAGAAAAAAUAUCUGCAUUCUGUGGAUCCCUUCUUUCUUGCUUCUGGCAAAAGGAGAGCUCAUCUGGAUGAGACAGGAGGAAUGUCCAAUAUUCUCUUUAGCAUAUGAAGAAUGUUUUUCUAUCUUAAAAUGGGAAUUAUUUUGAUAUAAAGAUUAUGUAUACUUAACAACCAAGCACCAAAACAGUUAAUACUUUCUCCAGAGUGUUACUGAUGUUAUGUGGACAAAAUGGUUUCAACUAAUGAGUAGGAAACACAGCUUUGUUGUAAAAAGGAGAAGGAGGAACAUGCAAAGAAAUAUGUUACAAGAUUAAACAAACAGGGAAGGGUUACUUGUAAGGUGUGUGAAGUUCUUCUACAGUGUUCAGUAUUGAUAGGGCUGCAAACUGGGCCAAAUUCUGAGGCUAAUUAUUGCCUGGCUAGCUUAACUUUGGGUAAGACUUUGAAUAGGCAGACUGUGUUCCAUCAUGUGGAAACACAACGGGUUGGGAUCAUCUAAGUAACAGAAAAAUCUGAGAGAGUCCAAGUGUGCUAGCAUUCUCUGUGGACUUACAUAGAAAAUCUGAGUUUAUUAGCUCUGAUUCAGGGAUGGCCCUGCUAAUUUCAGUCCAUCUCUGUUGCUCCCUGGUGCCUUAGCUUUUGGGCAUAGUGCUUGCGGAAGUAAAAUGCUAUUUGCCACCUGUUACAGCAUUAGGUCAAAUGGGCCCUAACGAAAAAUGGACUGAGGUGCAAAGACACUUGUUCUGAGGGAGGCAUUUGGGUCAUAAAUAUCGCUGGAUUUUAGCUGAGUGUUAGCAAAGUCUUGCAUGCUCUAGCAACGUGGGACUGAGUGGUAUUCACAAGGUUAAUUAGCAGAGGCGGUGUGGUAUGAGAGUGGUUUGUGGUCUUAGGCCCAUCUUUGUCCUGGGUACUAUGCAAGGGCAUUACAUAGCACUGUCUAGAAGCGAUCACUCACAGCGUAAAGAAUGAGAGUGCUCUGUACAGUCAGAAAUAUUUUUUUCUGGAAGGAAUUUGGGAGAACUUGCAUACCUGUGAUAUCUGCACUGUCAGGCAAAAACUGGUUGGCAUCUAGAAUUUCAAGUAGCCCUACUGUAAAUUGUUUCCACUGUACCUUUCAGUCUUCCUCUAACUGCGGGUGCAAACUUAUGUGGCAGGUGUGUGGAGUCUUCUGUGGUCUUUGUCGCCUCCGGAGGAUGAAGAAUGACACAGGAGAUAACCCCAGCAUUCCCACAAACUCCACACUGGGAGCUGAGUUCCGCUUUGUGGAUGUAGUCAUAGAGGGAUUUCUGAGCUGGCCACAGCCUUUGCUUUACUGAGUCUUUCUUUAGCUCAUCUAGACCACAAGGACCUCAGACUAAUUUACUGUGCCAGUAUCCGUGCAGAGUUUCUAUGCUGGAUUACAUAAGAGCUAAUUAUUAUUGCUACACAAAGUACAUAAGUGAUUUAUUUGCUGCCUUGGUGCAAAGCAUUUAAGAAAAAAGAAA
Molecule: long non-coding RNA, 3841 nt
Organism: Columba livia (rock pigeon)
Lineage: Eukaryota; Metazoa; Chordata; Aves; Columbiformes; Columbidae
Exons: 2
Source: RefSeq, a predicted model, not a curated record